RNAcentral lists this transfer RNA (72 nucleotides) under Camelus bactrianus (Bactrian camel). It matches the Rfam family "tRNA". From Rfam's summary of the family: Transfer RNA (tRNA) molecules are approximately 80 nucleotides in length. Their secondary structure includes four short double-helical elements and three loops (D, anti-codon, and T loops). Lineage: Eukaryota; Metazoa; Chordata; Mammalia; Artiodactyla; Camelidae. The record is from Rfam by way of RNAcentral. RNAcentral also lists the same sequence under 2 other names.
AGGGGUAUUGCUCAGUGGUAGGGCCCAUGCCUAGCAUGCACAAGGUCCUGGGUUCAAUCCCCAGUAGUUCCA